Molecule: ribosomal RNA, 465 nt
Filed under: Vreelandella stevensii
Lineage: Bacteria; Pseudomonadati; Pseudomonadota; Gammaproteobacteria; Oceanospirillales; Halomonadaceae
Description: partial 16S ribosomal RNA
Rfam family: Bacterial small subunit ribosomal RNA
Source: RNAcentral
CCUACGGGUGGCAGCAGUGGGGAAUAUUGGACAAUGGGCGAAAGCCUGAUCCAGCCAUGCCGCGUGUGUGAAGAAGGCCUUCGGGUUGUAAAGCACUUUCAGUGGGGAAGAAAGCCUUGGGGCUAAUACCCUCGAGGAAGGACAUCACCCACAGAAGAAGCACCGGCUAACUCCGUGCCAGCAGCCGCGGUAAUACGGAGGGUGCGAGCGUUAAUCGGAAUUACUGGGCGUAAAGCGCGCGUAGGCGGUCUGAUAAGCCGGUUGUGAAAGCCCCGGGCUGAACCUGGGAACGGCAUCCGGAACUGUCAGGCUAGAGUGCAGGAGAGGAAGGUAGAAUUCCCGGUGUAGCGGUGAAAUGCGUAGAGAUCGGGAGGAAUACCAGUGGCGAAGGCGGCCUUCUGGACUGACACUGACGCUGAGGUGCGAAAGCGUGGGUAGCAAACAGGAUUAGAUACCCGGGUAGUC